This 603-nucleotide ribosomal RNA is filed under the name uncultured fungus. RNAcentral describes it as "LSU rRNA". It matches the Rfam family "Eukaryotic large subunit ribosomal RNA", at positions 38 to 667 of the family's 3401-position model. Lineage: Eukaryota; Fungi. The record is from RNAcentral.
GCAUAUCAAUAAGCGGAGGAAAAGAACCAACAGGUAUUGCCCUAGUAACGGCGAGUGAAGCGGCAACAGCUCAAAUUUGAAAUCUGGCCUCGGCCCGAGUUGUAAUUUGCAGAGGAUGCUUCUGGCGCGGUGCCUUCCGAGUUCCCUGGAACGGGACGCCACAGAGGGUGAGAGCCCCGUAUGGUCGGACACCAAGCCUGUGUGAAGCUCCUUCGACGAGUCGAGUAGUUUGGGAAUGCUGCUCUAAAUGGGAGGUAAAUCUCUUCUAAAGCUAAAUACCGGCCAGAGACCGAUAGCGCACAAGUAGAGUGAUCGAAAGAUGAAAAGCACCUUGAAAAGGGGGUUAAAUAGUACGUGAAAUUGUUGAAAGGGAAGCACUUAUGACCAGACUUGGGCCGGGCGGCUCAUCAGGGGUCCUCCCCUGUGCACUCCGCCCGGCACAGGCCAGCAUCGGUUCUCGUGGGGGGAUAAGACCGUCAGGAACGUAGCACCCUCCGGGGUGUGUUAUAGCCUGGCGGACGAUACCCCCGUGGGGACCGAGGUCCGCGCUCCGCAAGGAUGCUGGCGUAAUGGUCAUCAGUGACCCGUCUUGAAACACGGACC